AGGCGACGAUCAGUAGCCGGCCUGAGAGGGUGAACGGCCACAUUGGGACUGAGACACGGCCCAGACUCCUACGGAGGGCAGCAGUGGGGAAUAUUGCACAAUGGGGGAAACCCUGAUGCAGCGACGCCGCGUGAGUGAAGAAGUAUCUCGGUACGUAAAGCUCUAUCAGCAGGGAAGAAAAAAAGUCUUUGGCUUUGGACGGUACCUGACUAAGAAGCCCCGGCUAGCUACGUGCCAGCAGCCGCGGUAAUACGUAGGGGGCAAGCGUUAUCCGGAUUUACUGGGUGUAAAGGGAGCGUAGACGGCAGCGCAAGUCUGGAGUGAAAUGCCGGGGCUCAACCCCGGAACUGCUUUGGAAACUGUGCAGCUAGAGUGCGGGAGAGGUAAGCGGAAUUCCUAGUGUAGCGGUGAAAUGCGUAGAUAUUAGGAGGAACACCAGUGGCGAAGGCGGCUUGCUGGACCGUAACUGACGUUGAGGCUCGAAAGCGUGGGGAGCAAACAGGAUUAGAUACCCUGGUAGUCCACGCCGUAAACGAUGAUUACUAGGUGUCGGGGGACCAAGGUGCUCCG
This 570-nucleotide ribosomal RNA is filed under the name uncultured bacterium. RNAcentral's name for it is "bacterial SSU rRNA". It matches the Rfam family "Bacterial small subunit ribosomal RNA", at positions 271 to 842 of the family's 1533-position model. The record is from RNAcentral.